CACGUAGGGUGCGAGCGUUGUCCAGAAUUAUUGGGCGUAAAGAGCUCGUAGGCGGUGUGUCGCGUCGGCCGUGAAAACCUGCAGCUUAACUGUGGGCGUGCGGUCGAUACGGGCAUCACUGGAGUUCGGCAGGGGAGACUGGAAUUCCUGGUGUAGCGGUGAAAUGCGCAGAUAUCAGGAGGAACACCGGUGGCGAAGGCGGGUCUCUGGGCCGAAACUGACGCUGAGGAGCGAAAGCGUGGGGAGCAAACAGG
RNAcentral lists this ribosomal RNA (254 nucleotides) under uncultured bacterium. RNAcentral describes it as "partial 16S ribosomal RNA". It matches the Rfam family "Bacterial small subunit ribosomal RNA", at positions 524 to 776 of the family's 1533-position model. The record is from RNAcentral.